GACGAACGCUGGCGGCGUGCUUAACACAUGCAAGUCGAACGGAAAGGCCCUUCGGGGUACUCGAGUGGCGAACGGGUGAGUAACACGUGGGUGAUCUGCCCUGCACUUUGGGAUAAGCCUGGGAAACUGGGUCUAAUACCGAAUAGGACCACGCGCUUCAUGGUGUGUGGUGGAAAGCUUUUGCGGUGUGGGAUGGGCCCGCGGCCUAUCAGCUUGUUGGUGGGGUAAUGGCCUACCAAGGCGACGACGGGUAGCCGGCCUGAGAGGGUGACCGGCCACACUGGGACUGAGAUACGGCCCAGACUCCUACGGGAGGCAGCAGUGGGGAAUAUUGCACAAUGGGCGCAAGCCUGAUGCAGCGACGCCGCGUGAGGGAUGACGGCCUUCGGGUUGUAAACCUCUUUCGAUAGGGACGAAAGCGCAGUGACGGUACCUAUAGAAGAAGCACCGGCCAACUACGUGCCAGCAGCCGCGGGUAUACGUAGGGUGCGAGCGUUGUCCGGAAAUACUGGGCGUAAAGAGCUCGUAAGUGGUUUGUCGCGUUGUUCGUGAAAACUCACAGCUUAACUGUGGGCGUGCGGGCGAUACGGGCAGACUAGAGUACUGCAGGGGAGACUGGAAUUCCUGGUGUAGCGGUGGAAUGCGCAGAUAUCAGGAGGAACACCGGUGGCGAAGGCGGGUCUCUGGGCAGUAACUGACGCUGAGGAGCGAAAGCGUGGGGAGCGAACAGGAUUAGAUACCCUGGUAGUCCACGCCGUAAACGGUGGGUACUAGGUGUGGGUUCCUUCCUUGGGAUCCGUGCCGUAGCUAACGCAUUAAGUACCCCGCCUGGGGAGUACGGCCGCAAGGCUAAAACUCAAAGGAAUUGACGGGGGCCCGCACAAGCGGCGGAGCAUGUGGAUUAAUUCGAUGCAACGCGAAGAACCUUACCUGGGUUUGACAUGCACAGGACGCCGGCAGAGAUGUCGGUUCCCUUGUGGCCUGUGUGCAGGUGGUGCAUGGCUGUCGUCAGCUCGUGUCGUGAGAUGUUGGGUUAAGUCCCGCAACGAGCGCAACCCUUGUCCUAUGUUGCCAGCGGGUUAUGCCGGGGACUCGUAGGAGACUGCCGGGGUCAACUCGGAGGAAGGUGGGGAUGACGUCAAGUCAUCAUGCCCCUUAUGUCCAGGGCUUCACACAUGCUACAAUGGCCGGUACAAAGGGCUGCGAUGCCGUGAGGUGGAGCGAAUCCUUUCAAAGCCGGUCUCAGUUCGGAUCGGGGUCUGCAACUCGACCCCGUGAAGUCGGAGUCGCUAGUAAUCGCAGAUCAGCAACGCUGCGGUGAAUACGUUCCCGGGCCU
This 1337-nucleotide ribosomal RNA is filed under the name uncultured bacterium. RNAcentral describes it as "bacterial SSU rRNA". It matches the Rfam family "Bacterial small subunit ribosomal RNA", at positions 28 to 1381 of the family's 1533-position model. The record is from RNAcentral.